RNAcentral lists this ribosomal RNA (857 nucleotides) under Coniella paracastaneicola. Its description in RNAcentral is "eukaryotic LSU rRNA". It matches the Rfam family "Eukaryotic large subunit ribosomal RNA", at positions 71 to 958 of the family's 3401-position model. Lineage: Eukaryota; Fungi; Ascomycota; Sordariomycetes; Diaporthales; Schizoparmaceae. The record is from RNAcentral.
GGGAUUGCCCUAGUAACGGCGAGUGAAGCGGCAACAGCUCAAAUUUGAAAUCUGGCUUCGGCCCGAGUUGUAAUUUGCAGAGGAUGUUUCUGGCGCGGUGCCUUCCGAGUUCCCUGGAACGGGACGCCACAGAGGGUGAGAGCCCCGUAUGGUUGGACACCAAGCCUGUGUGAAACUCCUUCGACGAGUCGAGUAGUUUGGGAAUGCUGCUCAAAAUGGGAGGUAAAUCUCUUCUAAAGCUAAAUACUGGCCAGAGACCGAUAGCGCACAAGUAGAGUGAUCGAAAGAUGAAAAGCACCUUGAAAAGGGGGUUAAACAGUACGUGAAAUUGUUGAAAGGGAAGCGCUCAUGACCAGACUUGUGCCGGGCGGUUCAUCCAGGGUUCUCCCUGGUGCACUCCGCCCGGUUCAGGCCAGCAUCGGUUUUUGCUGGGGGAUAAGAACGGCAGGAACGUGGCCCUCCUUCGGGUGGGUGUUAUAGCCUGCCGUACGAUACCCUGGCGGAGACCGAGGUUCGCGCUCCGCAAGGAUGCUGGCGUAAUGGUCAUCAGCGACCCGUCUUGAAACACGGACCAAGGAGUCGUCCAUUAGAGCGAGCGUUUGGGUGUCAAACCCGCACGCGUAAUGAAAGUGAAAUUAGGUGAGAGCUUCGGCGCAUCAUCGACCGAUCCUGAUGUUUUCGGAUGGAUUUGAGUAAGAGUUUUAACGGACGGACCCGAAAGACAGUGAACUAUGCUUGUAUAGGGUGAAGCCAGAGGAAACUCUGGUGGAGGCUCGCAGCGGUUCUGACGUGCAAAUCGAUCGUCAAAUAUGAGCAUGGGGGCGAAAGACUAAUCGAACUGUCUAGUAGCUGGUUAC